Molecule: ribosomal RNA, 253 nt
Filed under: uncultured bacterium
Lineage: Bacteria
Description: partial 16S ribosomal RNA
Rfam family: Bacterial small subunit ribosomal RNA
Source: RNAcentral
GACGUAGGGCGCGAGCGUUGUCCGGAUUUAUUGGGCGUAAAGAGCUCGUAGGCGGCUUGUUGCGUCGACUGUGAAAACCCGGGGCUCAACCCCGGGCCUGCAGCCGAUACGGGCAGACUAGAGUUCGGCAGGGGAGACUGGAAUUCCUGGUGUAGCGGUGAAAUGCGCAGAUAUCAGGAGGAACACCGGUGGCGAAGGCGGGUCUCUGGGCCGAUACUGACGCUGAGGAGCGAAAGCGUGGGGAGCGAACGGG